This 73-nucleotide transfer RNA is filed under the name Olea europaea (common olive). Its description in RNAcentral is "tRNA-Ala". RNAcentral also lists the same sequence under 4 other names. The record is from RNAcentral. Lineage: Eukaryota; Viridiplantae; Streptophyta; Magnoliopsida; Lamiales; Oleaceae.
GUUGGUAGAGCUCCGCUCUUGCAAUUGGGUCGUUGCGAGUUCGAGUCCGCUUAUCUCCAACUCAUGAACUUAG